Molecule: ribosomal RNA, 485 nt
Filed under: uncultured bacterium
Lineage: Bacteria
Description: partial 16S ribosomal RNA
Source: RNAcentral
GUAGUUAGCCGGGGCUUCCUCCUUGGCUACCGUCACUUCCUUCGUCACCAAGGACAGAGCUUUACAAUCCUAAAACCUUCAUCACUCACGCGGCGUUGCUGGGUCAGGCUUUCGCCCAUUGCCCAAUAUUCCCCACUGCUGCCUCCCGUAGGAGUCUGGACCGUAUCUCAGUUCCAGUGUGGCCGAUCACCCUCUCAGGUCGGCUACCCAUCGUUGACUUGGUGGGCCGUUACCUCACCAACUAUCUAAUGGGACGCGAGCUCACCCUUCAUCGCAUUGCUGCUUUUACCUCAAGGUCAUGCGGCCUCGUGGUCUUAUGCGGUAUUAACACUUCUUUCGAAGUGGUAUCCCCCUUUGAAGGACAGAUUGCUCACGCGUUACUCACCCGUCCGCCGCUCGAACAGCACCCGAAGGCACUGUCCUCGCUCGACUUGCAUGUGUUAAGCACGCCGCCAGCGUUCGUCCUGAGCAUAUACAACUACUGA